GAAGGGGCUCUCAAGGAUGGAGGCAAGCACCACACCUCUCUUCCUCUUCUGCACCCCCUCCCACACACACGCCACUAAGAGCAAUUUUAGGUUCACAGCAAAAUUGAGAGGAUGAUACAAAGAUUUCCCCUGUGCCACCACAGAAGCAUAGCCUCCCAGACUAGCAUAUCUACCCACCAGAAAGGCACAAGAAAUUUGUUUCCUGAAGAAAGACUGGCAAACUCCCUCAUUUGAAAAAUUUAAACUUCUACAAAAAGAGACUGUUUUGAUGAAGGAUAAACAAUAUUCACUAUUGUGAAUAAACAAAUUUCACAAUAAACAAAAUUCAC
Cervus elaphus (red deer) is the source of this 329-nucleotide long non-coding RNA. RefSeq lists it as uncharacterized. The transcript has 3 exons. The record is from RefSeq and is a predicted model, not a curated record. NCBI's taxonomy places the organism in Eukaryota, Metazoa, Chordata, Mammalia, Artiodactyla, Cervidae.